UAUAUAUAUAUUUAGUACGUAAAAGUUGGCAACUAUUUUUUAGCUCAUGAGAAUCGGUGAUCCGCUUGUGCAAAGACUACCCCUAUACGAUGAUAGCUUCCGUCGGCUCAUGCUAUAAGGUGUUGGGUUACAUCUCGCAACAUGCGCAACCCUUGUGUUUAGUUGCCACUAUGAGCUUUGAACCCUGAAAAGACCGCCAAUGUUAGGUUGGAGGAAGAAGGGGAUGAAGCCAAGUCAUCUUAACCCUUAUGCCCUUGGCGACACAUAUGCUAGUAUGGGUGGGACAAAGGGUGAGAUGACUCCAAAAGCCUAUCCUUAGUUCGGAUAGCAGGCUGCAACUUGCCUCCAUGAAG
Non-coding RNA from Triticum aestivum (bread wheat), 353 nucleotides. NCBI's taxonomy places the organism in Eukaryota, Viridiplantae, Streptophyta, Magnoliopsida, Poales, Poaceae. The record is from Rfam.